CGGAUCCUGCUGCUGCUGCUUCAGGGCACCCCCAGCAGCAGCUUGCUGCUGGGGAUGCAUUGAAACAGCCGCAGCCUCAAGGAGAAGGUGAUUUUGGGAUGCCACAUUUUCCCCCCUCCAAAACAAAGGGACUCAUAAUUUUCCAAGUUCUUCUUAACUGAGAUGCUCCAGCCCCAAGCAACAUCCAGCGAGGUGUCCGAGCCCUCGCCAUGCCCAGUGUGGGCUGGAGGCCAUGGGGAAAGUGACCAAGUCACAGCAGAGCGUUCGCUGACUCCACUUCGGCUGUGAUUGCCCAGCAAGGGGCUGCCUGCGGUUUUGUGCUCUGUGGACAGACAGGUUUUCAUCAGUGUAGACAGCAAACCUGAGAAGCUUUGGCACUUGGAAAGCAGCUUUAAUGCUGACGGAAUACACCCGUGUCCACACCCUGCACAUGACUGUGACAAUCUUUGUACAAGGUGUGCCUUGUCAGGGAUCAUUUGAAACUCCUAAUUUGUUGGUCAGCAUUGUCCUGAUAAAAUGUGUGGCAACGUUGUAUGGGAAGUUAUGAGGUUCCCCUGUAUGGUGUUAUUAACCCAUAUGCCAAGCCCACAGCCCUGCCCAGGCAGAAGUCAGGUCUGUCCUAAACAAAGAAAACAAUGUGCCUUAGUUUGCAUUUAAGUACUAAGCGGAGUUAUCGAGCAGGAAGGGAAAUAAAGGAAGCUCAAACGGAUGGGAAAAACCAGCAGGGAACAUCUUACCACACAGACUCUGUCUCCUGGUAUCCAGGUGGAAAUAUUUUUCAAGAGCGGUACUGAAACUAUAAAAAGGAGGGGCAAACACCCCGAGUCAGCCUUCUCUCUCUCCCUGCCCAUCACAUUCUCCGCACUUGAGAAGAUAAAAGGAAACAGCCGUUGGAUUCUGGGGGAAGGGUCCUGACCUGAAAAUAGUUUCUUAAGUAGAUACUAGGAAGUGUUUUAUCUUUAUUUUUCUUUUAACCAUUUCUGACUUUUAUGCCUCAUUACUUGUACUCACUUAAAAUCUCUCUUUGUAGUUAAUAAACUUGCUUUACUGUUUAUGUAA
Molecule: long non-coding RNA, 1059 nt
Organism: Chelonia mydas (Green sea turtle)
Lineage: Eukaryota; Metazoa; Chordata; Testudines; Cheloniidae
Exons: 2
Source: RefSeq, a predicted model, not a curated record